UACGGAGGGUGCAAGCGUUAUCCGGAUUCACUGGGUUUAAAGGGUGCGUAGGUGGGCAGUUAAGUCAGUGGGGAAAUCUCCGGGCUUAACCCGGAAACUGCCAUUGAUACUAUCUGUCUUGAAUGUCGUGGAGGUAAGCGGAAUAUGUCAUGUAGCGGUGAAAUGCUUAGAUAUGACAUAGAACACCAAUUGCGAAGGCAGCUUACUACACGGAUAUUGACACUGAGGCACGAAAGCGUGGGGAUCAAACAGG
Molecule: ribosomal RNA, 253 nt
Filed under: uncultured bacterium
Lineage: Bacteria
Description: partial 16S ribosomal RNA
Rfam family: Bacterial small subunit ribosomal RNA
Source: RNAcentral